GCCACGAAAUAAAGGCAUCAUUGGGGAGGAUUUGGGUGCUGAGCAGCAUCAAUAAGCGAGGCGGGGAGUGUGUGAGAUGAAGGCAAGAGCUGGUGGGCCAUGUGUGGGGGAAAGAAGUAAAGUUAAUUAAAAGUCUGAUAGAGCUCAGCUGUGAGGGGACUCGUGUCUUUUUGAGUUAGCUGACAAAAGAGCUCCUCACAGUGAAGAGGAGCUCCUUGUGACACAGCCCAGUGGAUGUACAGCUCCGUGUCAUCAGCCAGAGACACGGGCUGGUGUGCAUGUGUGUGAUUUAUUAAUCAUAAUCUGCCUGUAAGUGCUUUGGGGCAAUGGAGCUCAUAAAGUUUUACAAGCAUUUACGCAGCGCAUUUACACGGUGAAUGAAGAAGUGCCGUGGCUGCUAUUAAGAAUCAUUGUAUGAAAUUACUGCCUAAUCAAUAAUGAGCCUUCAGAGUAAAAUCUACUCAUUUAUGUUAUCAGACCUUCUGAUGCCCUGGCCGUGAUGAUGGACGGCUUCUAAGAAGCAUCAGGACCAGCCCAGUCCCUUCCUGCCCUCACCUCUGCGUGAAUCCCAAACAUCAGCGAGAGAAUACAGUUCUGUUACACAGGGCAUGUGGGAUAGGAGAGGUGAUGGCCAUAGCAUGGAUGGAGUGGAAGAGAUGGGAACAGGUAGGAUGCUG
This 677-nucleotide long non-coding RNA is filed under the name Anas platyrhynchos platyrhynchos (common mallard). Its description in RNAcentral is "lncRNA (ENSAPLG00000023831.1)". Lineage: Eukaryota; Metazoa; Chordata; Aves; Anseriformes; Anatidae. The record is from RNAcentral.